UUUUUGUUCAAACUCAAUUUUGCCUCCUCUGCGUCGAACCAACUUCCGUCCGCUCCAUAGCAGCUCCGGCGAGGGAGUUUUAUAUUCCCAUCGGUCAAUUAAUCAAGAAUUAAAGUGUGUGUCUAUCCUAUCCAUGUUCCAAAGUGUAACCGAACAACAUUAAUGUCCAAUAAUAAGACCUGUGACUCGAAUCGGUGUGUAACCGACGAACUCGAACUCAUCAUUUUUUUUAGUUGAAGCCUUUAAGUUGCGGCGUCCUUAAGAGUGCCUGUAACAGCCGAAUCAUGGCCAUUCAAGACCCAUAACCGUCGACCAUUAAACACCAAAUUAAAUCUUCCCGUUUUCGAAUCAAUUCGGUAUAAGUUUGAGUUCCCAUCGAGCAUUCAGACCCUUAGUAACUUCAUUACACUUCCAAUUUUUACUCGAAAUCGCUCUGUAACCCGCUGUUCACUCGUCGGACUUGGCGUCGGAAUCACAAGAGCUUCGGUCAGACCCGCAAACAGUUCGACAAAUUGGUUUCGGGGUAAUCCUUUGGAAUUCUCCCCACAACAUCUACGAUAACUUGAGGGUAAACAAUUGCUAGCUUUCAAGCAUGCAAAGUCUAGUGUUUUUCAAAGUUGAUGAUCAAGUGAUGUGGACACGUAGCAUGAGCCUUAGGAAAAUAAAUUGAAAUCUUGAUAUGUUUGUUUUGAACAAUGUAUGAACAAUUUUGAUUAUUAUAUGAUAUGUGACUAUUUA
Molecule: long non-coding RNA, 738 nt
Filed under: Helianthus annuus (common sunflower)
Lineage: Eukaryota; Viridiplantae; Streptophyta; Magnoliopsida; Asterales; Asteraceae
Description: hypothetical non coding rna
Source: RNAcentral